UUUUUGAACUAUAUCAUGCCUUUGAGGCUUUUUGUUCUUGCAGCUAGACCCAAAGACUGUGAUGCUUCAGAGAAAGAAAUGCUGCUUAUGUUGAUCUGGGUAAAGAGAUCAGCUGCUGUUCCUGGGAUUCUACAGCUCAUGUGCAAGUUCUUCAGUCUCACGGAAACACCAGAGGACUAUACGAUCAUUGUGGAUGAAGAGGGGUUUCUAGAGCUCCCUUCAUCAGAACACUUGAGUGUGGCAGAUGCUACGUGGCUGGCUCUCAAUGUGGUUUCAGGCGGAGGCAGCUUCUCCAGCUCCCAGCCCAUCGGGGUGACCAAGAUUGCCAAGUCAGUAAUAGCGCCGCUGGCUGACCAAAACAUUUCUGUAUUCAUGCUGUCCACCUAUCAGACGGACUUCAUCCUGAUACGUGAGCGGGACCUGCCCUUUGUGAUGCAUACGCUGGCUGCUGAGUUCACCAUCCUCAGGGUCGUGAAUGGGGAGACGGUGGCUGCCGACGACUUCGGGAUAACGAAUGGGUUUGUCAAGCCAAAAUUGGUUCAGAGGCCUGUUAUCCAUCCUCUUUCAAGUCCAAGUAAUAUGUUCUGUGUCACCAGCCUGGAUCCAGAUACCCUUCCAACUGUUGCUACACUCCUAAUGGAUGUCAUGUUUUACUCCAAUGGAGUAAAAGACACGGUGGUGGGCAGUGAAGACUCUGGACACAUUCGCUUUUUCUCCUUCUCUCUCAUUGAGGGUUACAUCUCCUUGGUGAUGGAUGUACAGACACAGCAGAGGUUUCCUAAUAAUUUGUUGUUUACAAGUGCAUCUGGAGAACUCUGGAAGAUGGUUCGGAUUGGCGGGCAGCCACUUGGCUUUGAUGAAUGUGGAAUUGUCGCUCAGAUUUCUGAGCCUUUGGCUGCCUCUGACAUCCCAGCCUACUACAUCAGUACUUUUAAGUUUGAUCACGCAUUGGUACCCGAAGAAAAUAUAAAUGGUGUCAUCAACGCACUCCAAGUCAGUCAAGCUGAAAAACAUUAGAAAUCUUCUGAGCUGGUUGCAGAUGCUUUUUUAUUAUUAUUCUUUUUCUCACAGUAUUUCUUGAAAAAUCUGAUUCCGGAGAGAGAGAUUGAGGUGCCAUGAAAAAAGACUGUGAACCGAUGAGCAGAAGCAACUCCAACAAGCUUUUUUUCUUUCUGUCUUAAAAGUGGGAGGGCGGGGAGUUGUUAUGAUGGUUUCCUGACAUUAGACUCCAAAGCAAACUGCUUUCCUGCUUUUUUGGUGUGAAAGGAAUUGCAGGUAGACAGGCAGCCUCUUGCUGAAAUGCAGAGGUAUAGACAGAUUGCAUACACAGUAGCUUUAGGGAGAGCUUCAAAACAACACCUGAAAGGGAAGAGCUGCUUUUUUAGCAGAGAGCAUGAAAAGCAUAAAUGAAAGAAAUGUGGAAUUAAAAGGAAAACAAAACAUUGAACUGUAUUGAUCUUUCCACUAGCAUCAGACUAUAUAAAAAUGGUAACAAUCCCUUAUGAUCUAUGUUCAGAUUGGGUACUAUUUUCCUUCACAAUUCAGUGUUGUGAGAGGGGGGGAAAUUAACUGUUUUUUUCUUCUGCAAUUCAGAAUUGGCUGCACAGAGAACAUUGCAGCAUGGUUCUUUAUUAAGGGCUGUCUUCUGCUGAUCUGUACUUUGGGGGCCUCUGUGUGCUGUUGAAGUUGCGUAUAUUAGCUCCAUUUUCCACAGUCCCCCAACAUCCUCUUACUACAACAUUGUGUCCAGGCAUCCUUCCAAGCCCAAGAAAGUUUGCCAUUCUCUGAUGUCCAUUAUCUCAUGCCAUUCCUUCCCUUUUCCCCGAUUCCCAAGCUCUUAACAUGUAGGGAUUGAGGAUGGUUGUAAAGAGGCCCACUUGCGUAACCAGCCUAGUAGAUGCAGGUGAUGUACACUCAAAUCCACUCCCUUCCAUUCCUGCUGAGCCACUUUCGCUCCCCUGAUGCUGUUCCGCCACAUCUCUAUUCACAAGGGUAAGGAAGCAUCCGAAAGUCCCGAGCUCAUGGCUUCCUCAAAUGAGGACUCCUCCUGGACACAACAUUGGUUUUAUCAGUGUAGCUCAGGGCUCUGUUGCCUUUCUGCACCCACUCACGUCCUCCUGCGGCCAAGGCUCUUGGUGAACGCGUUGCCAUUCAGUAAAACAGUUGGCCAAGAGCACUGUGCUUUUGCAGGGGAUGUUGAUACCCGUGCCCUUGGGGUCCUCUUUAUUUCACCUGCUACUUAAUUUCUUUGGUGAAACGUGGUUCUGGUUUGGCUGUGAAGCUAGGAGUGGGAGUCUUUUCAUUGACUCGGUCUCUUUUCUAACUGCAAAGCCCCGAGGGCCUGCUCCAAAGCCACUGAGUGCUACAGAAAUGUGCUGAAACUCUGACCUGGUUCCUUAUCCCUGUAUUACCAGUUCUUUUAGAGGAAAGUGAUGUUGGUCUUUAAUAGACAGCCCUACAGCCUGCAGUCCUGCCAGGAGCUGCUUACAUUUUGACAUCCCCUUGCAAAAGAAGCAAUGAGCCAGUGGGAAUGAAGCUCAGUAGCCCAACGUUUUACCUGGUGCCAUGCAUCUUCUUCAGCCCACUUCAGAACUGCCCCGCGGUCAAGACAGGGGUCGAGCUGAUGGUGAGUAUAGAGCGGGGAGGGCAAACAUCGCAUGGGAGUCUGCAAUGAAUGCACCUGAAAUGCCAUACGUCAGCAGCAACCCGCUCUCUGGUGAGACACAGGAUUUGUGAGGAGGAAGGCCACAUUGAGAUCUUGUUUCAUAGGUGGGAAACUGAAUUUCCCUUGCUCCUUUUAACCUGUUUUACCUCUCCCCCCACGCUUUUUUUUUUUUUUUAAUUAAGAAAUUGUGGAUCCUGUAGCUUUCGUGAGGAUUUACAAUCCCAGUGUAACUUCAGAGAGAGCCACCUACAUAGACCUGUAUCUUGCAGAUUUUCUCCAGGCAUCUGUUCCCAACUAGUACAUAUGAUAUAUUCAUACGUGUGUGUAUGUGUUUAUGGUACAAACACAGAUACACACACGCUGUUUACAAUGUCCUUCAGAUUACACAAGUAUUCAGAGCCUGAUAUUUGGUUUAUCAGAAAACACCCUCUAGCCCUGAUGUUGCAGGGCCCACAAAGUUAAUGGAGGAUCCUUUUGGGGAUUUUUUCAAUCAAUCUGUUAAACAGUUAAUGAAACUAGAGCAUCUUUAGGCAAUAACAUGGAUCUCUUUCCUUUUUAGACCCUAAUUCAGUCCACCAUCGUUAAGUGCUUCACUUUAAACACCUGCUUACUUUCCAUUGACUUAAGCCUAUGUUCAAUGUUAAGCACUUACUUAAGUGCUUCACUGAACUGGGGCCUUAAAAAGAACAUUUUGCUUUCCCUUGAGGCAGCUUUUCAACUGCCCCAUGGAGAACUAUAGUAACUCUAGACUUUGGGGGUUAAUGCUAAUUACAGAUACGACACCGUGUGUCUCUGGAUAUUUGCUCGAAAAGCUGCUUUCCUCAUGCUCUUUUGCAGCAUAUACAGAGACAUGUUGAGUAGUGUGAUCUUUUUUAAAAAAAAAAAUCCCACCUACUGAAGGACUAAAAUUGGUAUACAAAACUGUUCUUUGCCUAAAGAGCCCUUAUGUCAAACCACAAGUCCCAACUGAAGUCUGGCUGAGCUGUUGGAAGGUUAUGGGGGUUUGUUUUGUUGCUUUUCACAGUACAGACACUAUAGGGUUUUCAUCCAUUGGGACAGUGGAUGUGUCCCUUUGUGGGACUAUGGUUUUAUUUAGCGAUGCACAGACUCCUUGAAUGAGAUCAAAACUGCCAUGUACAACUUGUCAUUCAAGGUCUUUGAGCAGUAGAGCUGCAGACUUUUUUGCAAUGUUGUGGGGCUAGAAAAUUUUGCUUAUCAAGGGUGUUAGCUAUCGGAAGACUAUUAUUAAUUAGUUUACACACUGGAGAACAAUUACAUGUGUUACCCUCUCCGUGUGAUAUUUCUGCUUCCUUAGGACGAAGACGUUUAUCUGAGGGGAUUACUUGAAAUGAGCAGCAACUUUACUGAGCCUUAACAGAAACAGGAAAAUAAUGAUCUUGUUAUAAUUGUUAUUUACACUGUGCACUCAGGCUAGUCUAGAUGACAAUAUUUUUUUUUCCGAGGGAGUGGGCCUUAAGUUUAUGAUGAUUACGGAUGUCUCUGGCGUGCUUUAAAACUCUCUUCACAAGGCAGAUCGAUAUGCUGUCAUAAAAACAUUAGCCUUGAAAAGUCACGUGGUGUGGUAUGACAUUGAGUGAUUCAGUAUCUCUAAAGUGGCCAUAGGAUUUGCUGUUUUUUCCCCUCUCUUUUUGUCUUCGUAACCACAGAAGACCUAGAUUAUUUUGGACAACUGUCUGGAUAACUUGAUGUGGUAGCUAAGGAGUCUUUGAAGAGCCAGUGCAAUAGGCAAGUUGUACCCUGAUAAUGAGAACUAAGCUGUAAUUUCCAGCUCGGGGAAUCAGAGCUGUGCUAACUCUGAUCAAGUUAAUAUGCUAAAAUUAGCCGUGUAGCCAAGGUGGUGCAAGUGACAGGACGGGCUUGCCGCCAGAGUAUGUAUCUAGAAUUUCAGAUGGGAUCUUACUCAAGGCAGCUAGCCUUUCCGCUGUUUCUGCAGCUUCACUGAUCUUUGUAGCAUGCUAGCUUGACCAGAGCUAAAGUGGGUAUGUCAAUCCAAGCUGGAAACAACACCUCCAGCACCAGUGUAGACAUACCCUACGAAACUAGUAAAACAACCAGGUUUGGUGCCAGGAUGGGGCAUUGAACACCCGAGAACUAGUGCAAGAUGUGAAUGGGAUCUUCAUGGUUUCAGCAUAUCUCUGUCAUUGGCUUGGACCAGUACCUCAGACCCAAAUUUGGGGAGAGUUCAGAUUGGGAUCCUGCUCUGGCCCAUGUCUAGCUGGUAUAAGGGCUGUGCGUUGCUUGUAUGUUACAGCAGCUAUUAACUCUGCAGGCUAUGCUUGCUGGGUUGGGUGGCGACAGGAGGGGGAAUCCCCUAAAGCAACAUGUUAAAGCUUUGUUUAAAACAACCCAAGGACUUCACAAUACCCUUUCUUUUAGCACCGGAGGAAAUCCAAGUGGAUGUACCUUCCUCGCAGUGCUGACCCCAAACUACACAGCUUACUCCACUGCUGUGAGCUUUGGAGCCUUGCUGCUACCCUUUUCCCUCCAGCAUUGCAGCACUUCCCUGCAAGGGGCAGAGCAAGGAAAUCCAAGACACUCUGAACAUGCUCAGGAUGAGUGGAGUCGCAGCAGUAGGGUAAGGAAAGGAAUCCUUUCCUAGGCAUGAUCUGGAUUGCCACAUCCAUUUGGCCCUGCUGCCGCCCCGGCAGUCUUUAGCACCUGAUUUUGUGCAAAAAAUAGAUAUUUUCAAGGGUUGGGUUUUGUUUUUUAUUUAAGGCCUUGUAACAGUUGUGUCUCUGUAAGGAUUGGUGGAAUUGCACUAUUCCUUAAACAUUACAUAUAUGAGGGAAGAGUGGGAGAUAAGUGUGUAAGAGUGAUUCUGUAUUCCUUCAGGCAUUCUGCAUAAAUAAAACCAUGGCUCUGCCUUCAACCCGCCAGGGCUGAACCUAACUGCGUGAGGCUCUCUCUGACCCUUUUGUUGUGGAGUUUUAUUCAGCGGUGGUUGCUGAUCCAGCUGGAUUUUUGAAGCUUACAUUAACUGCAUGGAAUCCUCUUCACUUUCUCCCCUCCUGCCCCCAUCUUCGUUGCGUUGCACAAAAAUUCAACAACCACCAAAAUGUUUAUGCGCAUCUGUUUCUAAAAGGGAGCAGGGGAAAAGCAGUUCUCAGUCUCCUUCCUUAUUUCGCUGAGGCCUUUGUUUUCUUAGAAAUAUAAACCUCUGAUGCGUGUUACUGUGUAGCAAUGACUAAUUUUUGUCUUUUUCUAUUGAUUUCAGCUGCAGAUCCCUUUUUGCUGUGCGAGCGCGGGUGUGUACGGUCCUAUAAAUGUAGCGUGUUUACAGAGAAAUACUAGUAUGUAUCUAUUGUACACAUAUAUAAAUACCUGUGUUUUCUGUUUUAUGGCUAUAUACUGUACAUGGCAUAUAUACUUGAGCAAUAUAGGUUAAUAUAUACUAUGUGAAUGUGUGUAUAUUCUAGAUACACACUUAGCGUGUGUAUAUGUAAUAAGUACUAUUUAUACACAUAUAUUCACCAUAUAUUUUUAAUUCAAGUAUAUAGGCAAUGUGACUAUUUAGAUAUGCUGGCUGGAUUUCUCAAGCCUUUUUAAAAAAGGAGAAGCAGCUAAUGAAGCACUGGCUUUUUUCACUUGUUGCCAGUAGGCAGAGACCUUUAAGGAUGUCCAGAGCAAAGUAGCUGCAGGCUGAUCUUGGUUUUGUCAGUUACAGAAACACUCCUUUCCUUUUUAGUUUGCUGCCUUGAAUAGAACGCGGUCUAGAAAAGAUGGUGUGGUUUGUUUGUUUGUUUUAACUGCAUUGUUUUGCUGCAUUGAAUUGCUUUAACGAGUAAAUAGUGAAUGUUGGGUUUCAAAGUGCCUGUUCAGACCCCAAAGUCCAUUUGGCACAGAAUAGGGCGUCCACCCAAUUGUGUGAACAAGUGCAGAACUGGGAUCUUGAUUUUAUUUUAUCUUUUGGAGUUCAUACGCAAUUUUUGUUUAAAGCAACCGAGCAGCUUUCUAACUUCAGCCUGUAGGAGGAGCACAGUCUGGACAGCUGUGAAUGAAAACUUGUGGGAAAACCUGCUGCCCUUUGAGCCCGUGUUGACUAAAAGGUCAGCUAGUUCAGUGUGAAAUUCUCACAGCUCUCCCUGUGCGAGUGCACAUGUGUUUCUUUGUUGGUGCUUGGGAUUUUCUAACUGGAUUUUAUCAUGAAGGGUUUUAGCUUUUUAGAAAUAGGCAAUUUUGGGGAGAUCUGGCUGCUGAUGAUUUAAUGGCAAAAAAACAAGCUGCUGCUAAUGCAGCUGUUUGCUGUUUAUUAGAACCUUAGUAUUUAUUGCCCUGAUUGGCAGUUUAAAUCAAUGCAUAGUUUUAUAACAGGUCGAAGUGCGGGGAGGGUUUUUUAAAAAUAAGAAUGAAAAAUCUUGACGUGGUAUGUGAAAGUUUGUUGUUCUUGCAUCUCAUAAUCAGAAUCUCCUGACUCCCUGGAGUGGUGUUUGUAAGAACCCAGGUGGGAAAGGUACUUUACCAAAAACAUCAACUAGUUUUGUUUUCUUGCUUCUGUAAACAGAUCCUGUCUAAACCACUUUAAGCUACCAACUUUUGUCUUCCCCAUAAGUGCAUAAUUGGACAUCCUUUUAGAGGUUUGGAUGUCUUUUUGCAUCCCUUAAGAAACAGGUUUGGUUUUUGAAUAAUUCGGGAUUGUUAUGGGAUUAUCUCCUUUUUUCCGUCCUGUGGAGAGGUUUAGUUCAAGUCUCCUAUUUUGUAGGGGUCUUUGAGGUUGUGGAAUCUGUGGUAGGUCUUGUUAGAAUUAGGAUCAUCUUAAUGGAAAUGUGGUUUCAAGAGAGUGAUCCUCAGGCAGCUAUUUCCAGUGUAUCUAUUUUUUUUUAAUUAUUUUUUAGUUUCCCUCCCAGUUUAGUCUGACUAUUCUCGGGGCAGCCAGAGAUGCCUCUGAACAGAGAUGAAUUGGGCCUUCUCUGUAACAAAAAACAUGCUGAUGUCAGACCCUGCCAAGGGGAUGCAAGUGAAGUCUAGCAGUAAUUUACUCUCCCGUACAAAACACACCAGGCUCUUCGAGGCACACUGUAGAAGAGAAGUGUUACUGGAAGUGAGGAUCCCUGGAGCCAGUGAAACCAUCCUGGAGUAAUUAAUCAGGUUCAGUUUAUCUGGAAUCUUAGGUUUUAUUUUCUUGGCUCUUCAAGGAACAUAAGGGUGUCAAGUACGGCAGCCGAAGCACACUGUCUCUGCAGCAUGCUUUUGCUAGAUAGUAACUUGGAGAGUAACCACGAACAUGGGCUUUCCCUCUGGAGACAUAUUAGAAGGGAGGGAGAGGAGGGCAGAGAACACGCAGCAUAGUAAAAAAGCUCAAUUUGGAGAAGACAAUAAAUCUGUCCUAUACAUUCAAAUGCUUUUGACUCCUAUAGUCUAAUAUUUUGUGAGAUGAUUACCCAGGUAUUCCCACGCCCACAAAGUCUCUCAAGUGGGCCUCUCCCAUUGAGUCACUUGGGGUCAGAUUUUGAUACCGUAAGAUGGUCACAUUACCUUUAUUCCACAAAUCGUAUUAAUCAGGGUGGACUUGAUUUAAAGCAAAUUGAUUUAAAUCACUAGUCAGGAAGACUCGAUUUAAUCAUGGUUUUCUACAUAAAAGUGCAUUCUUGUUGGUUGUUAUAACCCUAAUACAUAUUCUCCACAACUCAGAGAUAGAUGUAGUUUUCAUUUUUAGAAGGUACAUGCCAUACAUUUUUAAACAGUGAUUUAUUUUGAAAACUUUUCAGAUUAGUUUUACAACUAUAUCAGAAAACAAAUGAUUGUUUGGUUAUUUCAUUUACCAAAGGUAAUUGAAGCAGAUAUUUAUGAAGUCAUUGGGAGGUGAACUAUCUCAAAUUCAACAGGUUAAUCAUUAAUAUUUGGAGGAUUUUCUUGCCAUGCUGUCUUAGGAGGAGAACAUCACCAGACAGACAUUUAAAUUGUUUUAGUUAACUAAAACAACAACGUUAAGUAUUCUGGAUUUUUUUCUUCAACAGCAAACAUAUAAUAUUUUAACAAAACAAGCGUAUGUCCCUCGCUUCUCACAUUUAUCUCCAGACUUCUUCUCCUUGUCCAGAUCUAUUCCGCCCCCAACAAGCUUCUAUUCAUUGAACUUUUUGAAACUUUGCACCUUUAGAGAGAGGUAAGGGAUUGACUCUGUGUACACAAAUUUGCAGAGGGACAAUAGAGUUGAGGUCUGUUAUUUUUCACCUCUAUAUAUUAUUUAUUUAUUUUAAAACAUUUUUGCUGUUAACAAGCAUGUUACCUCUGGAGACACAAAUCCACAGUUUGAGAACUGAAAAACUAAGCAUCUCUGAUGAUAUCCUCUAGCCUGAGCACUGAGUCCCAUUGGGUAGAUAGAAAGAUUAAUCUAAAUAAUCUAUACAGAAGCCCCUGGAACCCGAUAAGAUUGGGUCCCUAAUCCAUGAACUAUUGGAACUCAUUUACAGAACUUUUCUUAAACAUUACGUGAAUAUAUUGUCUCAUACUUUAAAAUUAGAAUUUAUAAUCCUUAUUCCAUGAUGAGAUAUCUUUGAGCUAUAAGGUAUCUUAAUUAAAACUAUCUUUAGAUAGGCUUUUUCCUCAAAAAGCAUUUUACCAAAAAAAUCCGAUUUAAAUAAAAAAAAAAUCAGAUUUUUUUUUUUUUAAUCAUUGAUUUUUAUCCACCCUGGUAUUAAUGAUUGAGUCGUCCCACUGAAGCCACGGAAACUGUUUGUGGAGUAAAGCGCUAAUCGGCGUGAGUUAUCAGCAUCUUGCCCUGAAAAAUGUACCAUUUUUGUCGUCUUAGAUCUUCCAUAAUACACCGACAUUUUUUGCUCUUACAGAUGUAGUUGACCUUGAGGAGCCAGAUCUUCAGCUGAUGUUAGUUGAUAGAGCAUCAUUGACUUCAGUGUAGACAUGGCAACUUACGCCAGCCUGGGGGCCUGUCCUGUGAUCUUCCUAGUCCUUUUGGAAUCCUCACAUCAGUGGCAGUAGUUUCACACGCGGGUCCUGGCCCCACAUUCUCCCCAGGAUAAAUCAGAAGUGAAUGCAGCUGCUGAUAUAAACCCAUUGCAGGUGAGAUCAGAAUUGGGCCCUUCACUCAAUAACCAGAACGAAAGCAUGUAUUGGAUGGUUUUAGGUCAGGCAGUGUGUGCGGGGGGGGAACCCCUGUGGGUGAUAAAUGGUGUCAAGGUUUUGUUUCUGACUCUGCAAGGCAGGUGACAGAUCUGGGCAUCAGGGUUUUGCUUCUGUCUGCGCAGGGCAGGUGAGGGCUCCUGGCAUCAGGAUGUGAGGCAUUAUUGAGGAGCAAACGUGGAAGAUUGGUCCCUGUUGCAAGUGAGGGUGUCUCAGAGUUUGCAACAAGGUGAGGUGAGAUGCAAAACCGAACGACGCAAAAUAAAUAAUUUUUGUUUUUAUUAAUCUUGCAAAAAGAACAAAUACGUCUUUGGUUUAGUCACGAAUCGAAGCUGAAUUGCAUUCUUUUUUAAGACAACUUUUUUUCCCCAGCCCAGUGGAGACCUCAGUCAAAAUCAGGUUGUUUUGUCUCACAGAGCCGGCCUUGAGGAGAGAGUAUUAGCGCACCCAAAAGUGGAAAUAUUCAGUGAAUCUUUCUAAUGUUGCAACCUCUUUCCCAGGAAAAGCCUCAGAGCAUCUCUUAGGUAAGAUUUGGGUCACAAACUCCGGUGCCUGCACAGAGCUUAUUGCAGGAUCAGGGCCUUAGUUAAUAGCGUUACCUCACUAGUCUUCUGACCAAAGUAGAGUGGGGAGUUGGCACACUAGUUUAGGUUAUGGGACUUGAGGGGGAGGCGAGAGAGCUCCCUCAGAUUGAUUUGUUUUCUAUCUGGUUGCCUCCACUCUCUUUAUCAUGUGGGAUAUUUUUUUGUGGGACGACCCCAUCCCUCCUGCCUAUGCAUUGUAUCUUCCUGAAAAGCAGAACCUUAAAAACAGAGUGAAGAAAGCAGAGAUGUGGCAAGUAACAUCUCAUGCCCUGUAGGCUGUGGUUUCAAGAGCGCCUCAUUCAACAGCUUAGCAAUGUUACCAGGAUGAUGGAAAAUAUAUGUGGGGGAGAGGGGUGUUGCCCUGCUAGCCACUGGAGUGAUUGUGUGGGAGAUAAUAGACCAGACAAGUCUGAACUUCAGCAGCUGGCUCACAAGCAAAAAUGUCUCCUAGAAGAAUUCAUUAAAGGACAAGAAGUCAUUUUCUGGUGGAGCUUAUUAUUUUUUUAUUCUUAACAACAGUAAGCAGUUUAACGCAUCUCACUUAGCUGUUAUAAUGCAGUCUAUAAACGUUGGAACGGAUUAAACUUUUAUUACCUGCCAGAUAGUAAAAUCCAGUACUUCUUUUACCAUAUACAAUUUUUGUGUGUGUGUGUGUAUUUGGAUGCAUAUGUACUGGCUGAGAUUUAUAAAGCUACCUAAGAAAUAUGGAUGCCCACUUCCCAUCUAUGCGUGCCUGUAUGCCUCUAUAAUGUGUCCAUUGUACAGACAUAUCUAUGUGCGUGAAUUAAUAGAAAUCGAGCAUACAGAUCCCUUCGACAGCUUUGCACUUCUCAGCCAGUAUGUAAACGCUACAUGCACACGCAUAUGUGCAGUAGAUUCUUUCCAUUAUUCAGUCCUGUAUUCCCGUGGGCCAAUGGUAAACUAAGAAUCUAGUGUUUUUAAAUGAUCUCUGCUUUACUCUUUCCCAUCCCCCUACCCCCCAGCCCCAUCUAAUUGUCUUAGUUUAAACCAAUAAACAUGUGUGCAGUUUGUAUGUUAAUAGCCUUAUGUUGGCCCCACUAGACUGUGUGCCAAUAGAACUGGCCAUUUCCCUGUAUCCAGAAAGAUGAUGGCGGGCUCUGAUCCCAUGCCACUGAAGUCCAUGGGAAUUUUGCCACUAAGUUGGAUGGCUCCCUAAGCUAGAACUGAGUUGCUGCUUGCCGGUAGUGACGGGAGAACCGAGCUGAAACCACAGAGUGUGAGCUGACGAGAGGGCUGGGGCCAAAAGGAGGCAGCAGUGGCUUUGCCAGCAACAGGAGAGAAUUGUACGACAGGAGCCAGAAAACACUUCACGAAGGGGGGAGGAAGAGAGCAUGCUUUUGCUCUUCUCUUCGUACAUGAAAAACUAACUCUUUUACUUUAACAAGCAUCAAAACAAAAGCCCAUAGACUCUGCAGAGGGAACAUUGGCCAGGCAUGGCCAUAAAUCUCAGAGCAAACACUCAAGCCAAGAUGCAGUGAAAAUGGCUCAUCUCGGCCCCCACCCUCUACUUAGGGAUGCAAUUCACCCCAUGCAGAGGGUCAUCUCAAGGCUACGUAGUACUUCUGAUCCACUUUAAGUGACACCAAGCGAUGGACUGGUCCUAGACAAAGGGGCGAAUGUCACCCUCAGUUUUCAAGUGGGCUGUGGUGGCCUUAGCAGGUUGGUUUUGUUCUGUCUCUCUGGUUUUGUUCUGAGUUUGUCUUUGGUCCACUUGAUAUGUUUUUUUACCUGCCCUGAGCUCUGGGUGUAAAAUCAAGGUAUGGCUGAGUUUUGUACAGCUGCAAGCAGGCUGCCACUGCUUACAUAGUAAUACCUCAAACUUAACAGUUACUAUAGUAUCUGCUGAAGGAGUUUGAUUGGUGGCAAAUGCUCAGGACCAGGUAAAGAACCAUGGUUGUGCAUAAGCAUUUCUAGCUAGAACUCACCAUCUUCUUUCACUAGCUACUCAAAACCCCUAUCGUAUGCCACUAGGGCAAUAUCACAAAAAUGGCUUCAUUCAUUUGUUUCCAGUUGCUGCAUGUUAUUGAUCAGUGAAAGGCAAUGUUUAUGCAGUAGGGUUUUUUUCAGCUUUCCAGCGGGAUGUUGUGGGUUUGGUACCAGCCUUCAUCAAUUACAAUAAUAGCUAAAUAAUAAUAAUAAUUCUUACCAGUUAUUUUCUAAUCUGAAAAUGAACUAAUACCAAGCUUCUAGUUCUCUUAGCCUUCAAGGGGAAUGCCACUGUGCUAAAAAGAGAAACCUCCACCAUUUUCCCCAGUCUGAUUUUUAUAGAGGUAUAACUGUUCUGAACACCAAUGUUCUUUAAGGCCCCAAUCCAGCAAAGCCUGUGUGCAAGCCUAUUUCCAUGCUUAAAACUAUGCACAUGCUUAAGAGUGGAUGCUGGAUUGCAGGGAAAUAGGGGGGCAUUUGAACUGAGUGCAUCACGUGAAUAUGUACCACCUCUAAAAUGAACCUGAGUCCACCCAAAAAGCUCUGAAACCAGAAGGCAAAGAAAAAGAACCCCAAAUUUAUCAUUUUUAAAAAUAUUCUGAUUUUUUUGAGUCCAGAGACUCAUGAUUUUUGAACGUGUGAGGUUGGCAAUACUGCUAAAACAAAAAUCCUUAUGUAAAAAGCCGCCCCCUCCUCCCCUCCCCCCCCCGUAUACGUCUGGAAAAGCAGAGACCUUUACCCUUCAGCAAGACUAGGAUGUGUGUUAGAAGAGAGAGAUCCUGAAGCGUAACCCAUCAUCUGGAGCACACACAGGUGUGCCAGAGCUGUUCUAGACCGUUCCUUGGUUAACCUGCAGCACUAUGCUUCUAUUUAGCUAGUCUCGUCUUGAAGAAAUAAUUGAAUUUUGAAUGUCUCCUUUCUGCCAGCUGUUCUCCAUGUUUUCCUUUUGUGUUUUUGUGCGUGUGUGGUGCCGUUUCACAUAGGCCGAGAUGAAAUCCAGUCAGUCAGUAUUCAGGGACAUCUCAUUGGCAGAUGUGUUUGCUUGUUUGUAGGUUAAAAAAGACAGUUCUGCAAUAGAAACUUCCAGUUUUUCCUUUGUAUGUUGGGAAUGGGUAACGUCUGCUUUGAGGUGAAGGCCUAGGCUUUACUUCUGUUGUGCAUUUCAUUUAAAAAAAAAUAACUUCCCCUCCCUCGAUAUCAUCAUCAUCACCACCACCACCGCAUCCCUCCGCGGUUGCUCAUUCUCAAAUCGGCAGGUUUUGGUGACUAAAGAAUGUUCUGUCGCAGCAGCACUGGGCUGACAAUUAGAACUCCAAGGGCCCGAUUCUCAUUUACACCAAAGUCACUUUACGCCAUUCUGGCAAUGUCAAGGGAAAUUCAAAUGGGUGCAGGCUACAUUCAUGCCCACUUUAAAGCCUCUUAGCCCUGCCAGAGCAAUGAAAAAAGGGGUCUUCGUAUCAACGAAAAUGAGACCCCAAGGCUCUUUGCUAUUCCCAUCUUCCUCUGGGUUUCUAUUUGCUCUGACUUUGUAAACGUAUACUGUAGCGUAGGGGGCAGGAGAAUACAUUUAUUGGUUUUGAGGUGGGGGUUGUUUUUUAAAACUUCUCUGGGGGGAUAAGAAUGUCCGUUUUCCCAUUGUUUUUGAUGGCCUCUUCGAGUGCAAUUCUGAAAAUAUUUCCCAAUGCAAAGGCAAUCCUCGUUUGUCAGCAGGUUUCCUAUAGACGUGGGAAAACCCACUGCUAAUGUUAAUAACAACAUAGGUCUUAAUCCUGCAAUUGAUGGUAGGUGACCACUGCUAUCAGUUACUGGAUCUGUGGCCUUAAGCUGCAGUUCCAGAGCAGAAUGCUGACCGCCCCUGCUCCACUUUUGACGUCGGUACCAAAAUUCCCAUUGACUUCAGUGGGACCAGGACCCAGCCCUCUGUCCCAUUGACUGUCUCUCUUCAUUCAUAACCCCCUCUGCUUUACCUGUGGUAACUGAUAUUCACUGCGGUCAUUAGAGGCACUGAGGAAGGACUGGGGACUUGUUUCAUCACAUGCCAGAUACUGUGCUGGCCUUAGAGUCGGAGUCUGGGAAGGGGUAGUCCGAGGGGGUGAUAGUUUGUUGGUGCUGGCUCUAAUUCUGCAGCGUUUCCUUCCAGUGCAAACUCCUUUCUGCGUUAUUUUUUAGGAGGUCAACCAAAACUAGGCCCUCGAACCCACAAUGCCGGUGUCAGACUGUAAUGACAGUGCUCCCAUUGAGUGAACGGGCCAUGCCUCUUCAGUGUUCUCUAACGCUACCCUUGGAGGUCAUGUAUUUAAUGCACCAACUCUCAGAGCUGGAUGCUGUAAACCUUUACUUGUGUGAGUAGUUAACCUUGAUCGCUCCAGUAGGAAUAUGGAGGGCCAGUCCCGAGGUCCUUGGUGGGCCUAGGCCUGGUAGAUGGAAUUUUGAACUGGGGGGGGGCCCUGAAAUCCUGUUUCUAAGUCUGAGGCAAAGAAACUUGAGAGCAGGGCUUUGUGGAGCGGGCUGUAUGUUGGAUUUUCCCAACAUCAGUGUUACUUUGCUUCAAACAGCUCGACCCUAGGCUGCACCUUGAGAACUUUCAUUUGGAUGGGCUAUUUUAAUGGAAUGACCAUGCCAAUUCUUAGGUGAGCAUUUUGGGACAGACUCUGGUGUAGAACCCCCUUGCAGUCAGACCCCCUUGGAAACUCUGUUGCAUUUAGCAGAGUUACUCCUAGUGUAACUCACAUCAGAAUCUGGCCCUUUCCCUAGGGCACUUCGCUGUUAAUGGCCAUUUUAUUCCUGUUGUGACUUACUUGAACAGGGCAUUGAUUACUCUUUUUCUUGAAUUAAAAAAUCCAGCCCUGGUCCAAAUUACUGCUAAGCAGACUGAAGCAGACCAUAGUUAGGAGGCUGUUGUGUGGCUCAGGUUUUCUGGCAAAUAACCAGAUCAGAGAAAUUCUCAUUCCUAAGCCUUGCCAACCCUAGGACCUAUGGCCGGUCACCCUUCCCACCUUGUGCUUCAUUCAGCCCAGUUGGAAAAUUGGGAUAAACACCACUGAAAUCUCCAGAGACUCCUUGAACACAAUGCAUCUGAGCUGAACUUUCCUGUAUAACUUAAUCACCAGUAUGAUACGUUCAAGCCCUAAAUGGCAUCUGAAUUUUUGGCAAACACUCCUGGUGCUGAGAGCAAAAUUGUUGCUGUUAUCGUACAGUGGGGUGUGAGGGACUGGGGGUGUGAAAAGAAACAUUUGGUAACACGGCCUUGUUUAUUUCCAUUGUGUUCUGUCUUUGCUGGUGUCUUGCAGAAACGGGAAUUUACAAAGCCGUUCCUUAAUUGGAACCAUCUUUUUUUUUUUUUUUUAAUUGGGAUAAAUGAUGUGAUGGAGACUUUUCUUUAAAAAAAAAAAAACAAUGUUCCGGAAAGUGGCUGACUGAAGGGGCAGUUCACCCCUAUGCGAGGGACUGGUGCAACACUUGUGUUCCCUAAGACUUUAAUCCUGCACAGACUGACACACACAUGCAUGUUGAGUGACUCAGCUGAAGCCAGUGGGGCGGUUUGCAGCAUGCAGAAUUAUGUCCAUGUACCAGUCUUUGCUAGGUUGAGGUGGAAAGGCUUCAGUGAGAUUUAAAUGGUUGAUAGCCCUUGUGCCAACCCUCUGCACAGAGGUGAAUUUCACGCGGUCGCGUUGCAACAGCAGCGAAGGGUGUUGUUCUUGUUCUUGUAUGAAGCGUGGAGCUGGAAGAUGGAUGGUUUUGCUUUACACAGAGAGUGCACAUGCUUAUUUUACUUGCUGGUCUUUUGCUGAAACUCGAGAUUUGUUGUACUGUAUGGAAAAGAAAAAAAAAAAAACCCUCAUGUUCCAAAACAAAUGACAGUAUAUUUUGUACUUUGUAAAGUGUUAAUUAAAAUGGAAAAAAAAAAAAAAAAGCGAAACAUACGCUGUCUGCUUUUGUACUGAUCAAACUGAUUAAAAUAAAGCAGAGCUUGGCAUUGUCUUUAUAAGAUGUAACUCUCUUUUGUUAAGCCUUUUCUAAAAGGCAACGAAUGCCAGGGAAAGAAAAGUAUGUCCUAGGUUUUAUCCCAAUACUCAGCUGCUUGCAUCAAAUGGUGACCAGGCAGCUAAGAUCCUGAACAUCCUGUUGACCCUUGUACUCACACCAAGCUCCAAUGAAUUAUAUAGGCCUCCCAACAGUUGCAAGGGUCUGUUCAUGUAGAUCCGAUUGUAGGGUCAGGGUUUAGGUGGUAGCAGGCACCAGAAGGCCCCUGGCCAAAUCCAGCCCAGAUGGGUAUCGAUACAACUCUGCUGAACACCUGGAGGGCAGUUCCAACUCUGAAAUCAAGCCCUCUGUCAGGACGCCAUGUGUGCAGGGAGGGAUGCCAGCAUUCUUGGUGGUACCAUCGUCCAGGUGCACUGGUGAUACAGGGCUCACUCAGCUGGAAGGUAAGCAAUCCAUCCCAUUGCACUCUUUGAAAGCAGGAGCCAGUAAGCCUAGCGCCGUCCCUUAUGGGGAGUGGGGGGUGAAGAGGGGGACUGCAGAACUGUCUCCAAAUAUUGCAUUAUACAAGUGUCACUAGGACCUUUUGGACCAUUGUUAUUAAUUAUUAUUAAGUGCUGGCAAAUGUUCCCUUGUUCUGACAGGUAUCUCCCAGGCUGUGGGAGCUAUGGGUGUGUGUUUGCCUACACAGUCACUGCCCUCUCUGCACUGAAGUCUGUGCUUUGGGAAGAAGGGUGCCACACAAACCCGAAUCUGAGCUAAACUUGCCACUCUGGCUCCGUGGAGGAUCUCCAUCCAACUGGACCCAGGCCCAUGUAGAUAGGCUUUUGUGGAGGUCUGGGUAAGGGGAGUUGAGGCCAGUGCUUUACCAUCCAAAGAUCCAAAUGACACUGAUCUUCUGCCUCAUUCCCUUGACUUAGGACCCCAGCUCGAUGUGCUGCAAACUCCCUUAGGCUAGCUGUCCUCACAGCAGUGCGCAGGCCAGUAGUUCUCCACGCAAUUUUGAAGUACACAGCUGCGGUCGUUGCCAAGGGAUGAAAUCCAGCAUGGACACGUCACCAUGUCAUGAUGGACUCGUCAACCCUACGCCACGGCUGGCUGCAUUUGCUGUGGUCAUUGGCAAGCUGUGCAUUGCCCUGGUCCCGUCCUGGCCUGUGUUAUCCCUUCAGAGAUUUGAAGACUGGAAGAUGGAGUUGAGUACUGUUCCCAGAUCGUCUACACUGGAGUGGAAUGUCAGGAUCCCAGCAUUGUCUUCUCCUGAAGAGCAUCACUCAGUGGAGGGGAACAUCGAAAACAUAAGAAGUGUGGGAAAGAGGCAUCUCCCCUGGAAACCUUGUCCCUCCAUUCAAGUGAGAUUUUAAGGCAGACCAUAAAAUAUUUUGCACCAAAUUCAGAGAUGCCAAAGGACCUUGCAGUGGUCACACUACGUUGUACAGGAUGGACACACAGGAAUUUCACUCAGAUCUUCAUGGUCCUAGAAGCACAGGUCAUCACUACGUGAGCUAAUGGAGAAUCUUCAUUAACUGUUAGCUGUAUAGAGCCGAUGAAACAUGCUUGAGUAGUUCUGAGUCCCUUUAGUAGAAGACAGUGAUGCAGUCUCAUGACCGGUUACAUUUAAAUAAGCACAGAUGGUAGGAUUUGGUCUGAAAUGUAUCCACUUGAACAAAAAUUACAGAUCCCUCAAUAAAAUAAGAAUUGAUUUGUUUGUCAGGUCUAAAGCUCUUCCGGUCAGGGACCAUAGCGUCUCCUGUGUUUGCAGAGUGCCUAACAGAAUGAGGCUCUGGGUGCUACCUCGAUACAAAUAAUAACAAAUGUAUUUGCUAAGAAGAGGCUUGGGGAAAGAGUCCAAACUAACAAAUCAGGCCUGAUCUACUGUAUUUUAGGACUUCAAUGACUGGUAGAAACUCCUAGUUUUGUUGCAGCUUAGUUCGAGCACUCUGCAGUAUGCUUAUAAAAAUAAGAAGAUGGGAAGUCAAACCAAAGCAGGUCUAUUUUUGAGGUCUUCAAGUUCUAGUUCUCAGAAUCAUUUGGAUCAAUGGGGAGGCAAGAUAUAGUUGGUCUGAGUGUUGAGCGUGCCUAAAAUAAUCUUGGCUUUACAGGAUGUAAUAUAUUUCAUUUACAGUGACAUGGUUUAUUAACGCACUCUGGACCAUAUUUUGCCCUCCGACAGCCCCACUGUGAGGUCAGAGAUAUUGCCUGAAUCUAGCUAAGGGUGGAGCGUGAGCCGUCCCAGUAGGAUUUGCAGGUAUGGAAGUGCAGAAAUGAAUAGCUGGAGCGGAGCACAAAUGAAAUAGUCUUCCCGCCUGGGUAGCAGUCAUUUUAAUAACAAUCCUGCAGCUGACGUUACUCGGUUCCCAUGCCCCAGCUGAUUUGCCAUGGGCUGCGUGAGUCAAGGAGACUAAAUUCCCCUCACCCUGAGAGAUCGGCCAUGUGCUAUACAGUAUUUGUUGUAGGAAUAGUUGAAGGACUUGAGCUUAUAGGGCUAUCAGCCCAUUGUCUUACCCAAGGAUUAAAUUCAGCUGCGCGGACCCUGGGGUAGCACAAGCCAGGAUUUGGAUUUUCAAAACCAACUGAUGUCUUUGGGCUCUUCAAGUUGUUGGUACAGUGUAGUAUUAAUGGUUAAUAACUGUAUCACUGGACAAUCCAGAUUGGGGCCCCGUUGUGCUCGGAGCUGUACACGCACAGGAGGAACUGUGUUUCCUGCCCUGAAGAGUUUUCACGCUAUUUUCAGCCAAAGCUGAUAGCACAGUGGUAUUUGUAAGGCAAAUGACUCGUGCUAAUCAAUGCGAAUCAAGUGGGUUAUUUUUGUUCUAAUUUAAGAUGCUCCCGAUGUGCCUUCCCUGUUCUCCCUCUCCUACCCCCUCCCCUUUACUGCAGGUAUAUUUAUGGCUGUCUAAUUUGCUACUCUGAAGGACAAAGUGCUGCAGAGAUUCCUUCCAUUGUACUACUUCUCAGCUCCCUACCGUGGGACUAGAUUGUUAAUUAUACUGACAGCUGUGUUCCUAAACAGAUGUAAUCCGUCAUGGGGGGCGGGGGGGGGAUGUAAACUUUACAACCCCUGGGUGCCUCCAACAGGUAAAAUCUUUCCGAUUUUCCUCGUAUCCAACAGUUUUAAAAGGUUGAUCCUGCAUGGGACAGUAGAGGAUAACAGAAGAAUAUUGAAAAUCAGGCAUUUUAGUUACUGAGUGGGUGGACGACUGAAGGAAAGAAAAGGAAUCCUCUGGAGACAUGUUUAUAACACAUACCUGCUACAGGAUACGGGAUUUACAGGAGGAUAUAAAGCCUGAUCUAUAAUCAUGGCCUGGAGCUUGUGCUGUGGCGGAAAGUGCUGCAGGGAGAUGCAAUCUGAACAGCGUGCUCUGUGAUGUGGGGAGGGGACCGUGCGUGUGCAAAUCAAGAGUGGCAUGUCUCAAUUCAGCAAGAUGCUAGGAAAGGCAUUUGCCUUCUAUCCACAAAACAUCACCCGAGCCAUCAGCUAAUGCCGCCCUAGCCAGAGUUGGCAGAGACGAUGCCAACAGGCCUAAAGGGGAAAGCGCCAUUACAAAGGACCCACCAGUCUGCAGCAAGAAAGGGGAUUUCUCUUUCCAGAGAGCGACACCGCAGCAUGGGGGAAAACUAGACUCAUCAGCAAGGGACUGGCUGUUCCUUCAAAGCCUGGCCAAACACACCAUGCUCACCGAGGAACCAGGCCGAACAGCACCAGAAUGGCAUCAUGCCCAGACGCAACUGUGCAGUUCCAUGGAUAUGCAUCUGGAGGCACAGUACAGACCACUGCUGUGGGGAGACAUUACUGAAUGAUAUAUUGCCAGUAAACACAUUGGGUGAAAUUCCUGCAGGCAUACAGAAGAUGUGACAGUGACAAGAUCACUGAGCCCCCACAAUGAAGUCUCCCUUAGCUUCUCUUCUGUAAUUCUUCCCCAGCAGGGUUGUUGCCAAAGAUUGUGCUGUAGGAGCCGGAUAAAUUAUUCCAGGCCUUCAGUUCUUUGAACAACACCUCGCGGAAAAGAAUUUUCUUCUUUUAGAUGUUUCAGUUGAAUAAGGGAAGCGUCCUUACCUUUAUGGAUUUAUACCCCUGCCUGCCUUCCUACAGAUCCACUGCCUCCUGGGAAAUUGCAAGCAUCUUAUAAAGGCCAACUCAGAAAGAUCUGAAGAGUCUGUACACAGAGAAUUCUUUCUGAUGUCAUCAAUGCAGUUUUAGACAAUAGCCUCGGGUAAAUCUGAAGCCCUUUGGCACUGGAUGUCUGAAAAGGCAGAACAUGUAGAAAUGAGACAUCUUCAACCUCAGUGGCUCAGCCUACAAGAUUACGAAGGAAGGGUAGAGUCAGCGGUGUCAGAGUACAACCCAGGAGUCCUGACUCCCAGCCCCCCUCCCCACCCCCCAACUGUGCUCCCUCCAGAAAAUAACUCUCCUACAAAAAGACUUUUAAACUAAACUUUGCUACACGUUUAAAAACAGUAACAGUAACAAACCCACCCCUUUCCCUCAGAAAAGAAACUCAACAUCUUAUGUACCGCAAAACAGAUUGUAGUUUAGAAAACUGGCAGCAAAAUCAAGCUCAUAGUACUGCAGGAAUAACGUUUGAUCUUCCAGAACUGCUCUACAGGUGGCACAGGGGCCUUUUUCAGACGAUUUAUGCUUGUGUUCUUUGCAGAGUUUCUCUGGGAUGAAAUAUAAUGGCACUUGGAAGGAGACGUUGAGUAACACAGACAAUGGCUGGAAUGAAUGAGAAGUGCUGAGGAGAGAUGUCCCGAUCCUGAAGUGAUCUUACAACCAAGUUAGUCGAACAAGAAAAACAGCUUUCCUCUGCAUCCUGGCCUGUUCCGAUGAAACAAGCCCAUGGUCACGUCCCUUUGUGGGGACAAAGGAUUUUUACCCCCCUUGGAGAUGGCAGCAUCUGUUGUUCAUGUUUCCUAACUGUGCCACCUUUGAUUGGCUGCCACUGAAGGACUAGAACAUGGAUUUUGUUUAAAGGAACAGAGUCCACUAGAAAGUUCUGAAGUCAGUGGAAGCUCCAGGUGUUGACUUUCAAGAUGUUUAACUUCAUGCGUCAGAGCACACAGCGAGCCAGGUCUCAAAGGAGAUCAGUGUCAUCAUCCCCAUCUUACAGAUAGGGAAACUGAGGCAUUGAGCAGGGACAUGCCUUGCCCAGAGUCAUCCAGCAGGAAAGGUCCAUCGACACCAGACAGACUAUUGUGGGAUGUUAAAGAGGACAAGAGACUGUUGUUCUGCUCUCCUCCCAUGAAGAUGAAUCAUGCAAGUGGAUUCCUCCCAUCAGCCGAGUUUGCAGCUCAGAGCGCAUGGCAGGAGGGGAUGAAAACACCAAACAAAUGGAACUAGGCAUCUCUAUGCUGCUUCAACUCUGGUGGUGGGGUGUCGGUGUGGUGGUGGGGGAGGAUUAGGGAUAAGAGCCCGAGAUGGUUAGCUCUAAAGGACAUAUAGAGCUUGCUUAUUGUAGAAGCAUCUAUUACCUUUUGAAACAUAUGACUAGUAUCAAAGGGUUGCCGUGUUAGUCUGUAUCCACAAAAACAAUGAGGAAUCCGGUAGCACCUUACAGACUAACAGAUUUAUUUGGGCAUAAGCUUUUGUUUUCGCUCCAUGCAUCUGAAGUGGGCUUUUUACCCACGAAAGCUUAUGCCCAAAUAAAUUUGUUAGCCUGUAAGGUGCCACCGGACUCCUCGUUGUUUUUUUGAAACAUAUGACUGUUCCUCAUUUGUGUGUGUGUGUAUGUUCACCUGCUUUAACUUUACAAAUAACUCAUUUCCUUUUCCUAUCUAAUAAAUCUUAUAGUUUUUAUGGGA
Molecule: RNA transcript, 22071 nt
Organism: Chelonia mydas (Green sea turtle)
Lineage: Eukaryota; Metazoa; Chordata; Testudines; Cheloniidae
Gene: CASTOR2
Gene name: cytosolic arginine sensor for mTORC1 subunit 2
Exons: 17
Source: RefSeq, a predicted model, not a curated record